Molecule: unclassified non-coding RNA, 336 nt
Filed under: soil metagenome
Description: partial contains 5.8S ribosomal RNA, internal transcribed spacer 2, and large subunit ribosomal RNA
Rfam family: 5.8S ribosomal RNA (bases 1-120)
Source: RNAcentral
GAUGAAGAAAGUAGCGAAAUGCGAUAAGUAAUGUGAAUUGCAGAAUUCAGUGAAUCAUCGAAUCUUUGAACGCACAUUGCGCCCGCCAGUAUUCUGGCGGGCAUGCCUGUUCGAGCGUCAUUUCAACCAUCAAGCCCCCGGCUUGUGUUGGGGACCUGCGGCUGCCGCAGGCCCUGAAAAGCAGUGGCGGGCUCGCUGUCACACCGAGCGUAGUAGCAUACAUCUCGCUCUGGGCGUGCUGCGGGUUCCGGCCGUUAAACCACCUUCAUAACCCAAGGUUGACCUCGGAUCAGGUAGGAAGACCCGCUGAACUUAAGCAUAUCAAUAAGCGGAGGA